This 369-nucleotide long non-coding RNA is filed under the name Gossypium barbadense (sea-island cotton). Its description in RNAcentral is "long non-coding RNA (GBAR_LNC022644)". The record is from RNAcentral. Lineage: Eukaryota; Viridiplantae; Streptophyta; Magnoliopsida; Malvales; Malvaceae.
CGAGAUCUCUGGAGGAUAUACAGAGUGCUUUUCAACAAGGCCCCGAAUCUAAUCUAGCUGAGGUGCCACAUUCCUCAGGAGUAGAGCAUCCUGAUGUGGUUUCUACUGAAGAGAUUGAUGGUAGUAGUCCCGUCUCUGGUAUUCAAGCAAUGAGUGAGAAUGUUGCCAGUGGACCAAAAAAUGAAAACAAAGAAAUGGUAGAAAAAGAGAUGGAGACUGAGGUGGUGCUACCUGUACUUGAAGCAAAAUCAGUGGAAGACAUCGAUGUGGCGUUUAAGCAACUUCAUGAAGGGGUAAAUGUGGAGGAAAUAAUUAUUCCAAGUAUGAUUGUGAACCAACAGGUUCAUGCAGACAUCAGUUCAACAUUAC